This 451-nucleotide long non-coding RNA is filed under the name Nicotiana benthamiana. RNAcentral describes it as "long non-coding RNA (NBEN_LNC036778)". Lineage: Eukaryota; Viridiplantae; Streptophyta; Magnoliopsida; Solanales; Solanaceae. The record is from RNAcentral.
UCUGAUGAAUGGUAAUGAUAUGACAGGAUAAGAGCUGACUAUAGUUUAUCUCAACAACGACUUGAUAAAGUAAGUUAGAGUAUAGGUAGAUUGAAACAGUGUGUAUAAAGAAAAGGUGACGACUGUAUGGUCAUGUCAGAAGUUGUCUACAAAUGUUUUUAGACAUUUGACCAGAUUACAUAACUAUUGACCUGGUCAGCCCUCAACACCCUAUAUCUGAACCUAACAAUACCCCAUAUUAGAAAUCACCCUAAAUCCAUAUAUGUCGUCAUACAAUCUUGAAUCCACAUCAGAGCACUAGAAGAAUUCUUACGACAGGUCUUCCUUAUUCUCUGUAUGCGACAUACCCUUGUGUUAUUGCAUCCAUUUUCUUAAUUUCUUUUUCGAAAAAAAAUAAAUCAUUUCUAGUAGGACUCAUUCUUUGAGUUAUUUGAGCUGAAACAUAAAUCUC